This 829-nucleotide long non-coding RNA is filed under the name Vitis vinifera (wine grape). RNAcentral describes it as "long non-coding RNA (VVIN_LNC002608)". Lineage: Eukaryota; Viridiplantae; Streptophyta; Magnoliopsida; Vitales; Vitaceae. The record is from RNAcentral.
UAGGUCAUGAGGGGAAAAAGUUAUGAGAUGGAGAUGGGCCUAUAGAGACUAUACGAGGUGGAUAGAGAUGUGAGGAAGAACGGGAGGUACCUGGUGGAGCGAGAGGGCUCGUAGUAAGGUAUGGAUACAAGGAGUGGGGAAACAUGAGAUGUUUCGGGAACCCAAUAGUUGUAUCUGGUUUUAUCCUCUGUAAUAUUCUCUAUUGUAUAGUGAAAUUAUUCUCUCUCAUCCGUGGACGUAGGCAUGGUUGGCCGAACCACGUUAAAACCUCGUGUACCGUAUGUGUGAUUGUGUUUAUCUUUGUGUUCUUGAACUAACAUUGUUGGCAUCAAAGCUUUCGCUGGCACUACAAUUGCUUGUUAGGAAGUGUCCCAAAUUCCUAAUUAGUAUAGAUUCUUUUUUGUGUAAAGAAUAUUAUAUAGAAUAUUUAUAGAUUGAUAUAUUAUUGUAAUAUUAGACUUCCUUAUAGAAUAAGGAAGGUUGUUGGAAAUAUCUCUAUAAAUAUUCUAGGUCAUGAGGGGAAAAAGUUAUGAGAUGGAGAUGGGUCUAUAGAGACUAUACGAGGUGGAUAGAGAUGUGAGGAAGAACGGGAGGUACCUAGUGGAGCGAGAGGGCUCGUAGUAAGGUAUGGAUACAAGGAGUGGGGAAACAUGGGAUGUUUCGGGAACCCAAUAGUUGUAUCUGGUUCUAUCCUCUGUAAUAUUUUCUAUUGUAUAGUGGAAUUAUUCUCUCUCAUCCGUGGACGUAGGCAUGGUUAGCCGAACCACGUUAAAACCUCGUAUGUGUGAUUGUGUUUAUCUUUGUGUUCUUGAACUAACAUUGUUGGCAU